This 171-nucleotide small RNA is filed under the name Hemiselmis andersenii. Its description in RNAcentral is "partial Betaproteobacteria transfer-messenger RNA". Lineage: Eukaryota; Cryptophyceae; Cryptomonadales; Hemiselmidaceae. The record is from RNAcentral.
AGAGUGAGGAGGAGGUGGUGGACGCUGUUUUGUCGUCAGCAAUGACUUGGUGCGAUAAAGUCUGGGCGAAUCGUGAGGCGACCGCGAUGAUUCGAGAAGAGCUUGCAUUGCUGUCUCCGGACCACGACGAGAGGUUUGGCAUCGUCGCUCGACUGAUGCUGAGGGCGCUGC